UACAGAGGGGGCAAGCGUUGUUCGGAAUCACUGGGCGUAAAGCGCACGUAGGCGGAUCCUUAAGUCGGGGGUGAAAUCCUGGAGCUCAACUCCAGAACUGCCUUCGAUACUGAGGAUCUCGAGUCCGGGAGAGGUGAGUGGAACUGCGAGUGUAGAGGUGAAAUUCGUAGAUAUUCGCAAGAACACCAGUGGCGAAGGCGGCUCACUGGCCCGGUACUGACGCUGAGGUGCGAAAGCGUGGGGAGCAAACAGG
RNAcentral lists this ribosomal RNA (253 nucleotides) under uncultured bacterium. RNAcentral's name for it is "partial 16S ribosomal RNA". It matches the Rfam family "Bacterial small subunit ribosomal RNA", at positions 524 to 776 of the family's 1533-position model. The record is from RNAcentral.